AUUGUAGCAAUACAAGGCAUACGGCUCAGUAACGCGUAGUCAACCUAACCUAUGGACGGGAAUAACCUCGGGAAACUGAGAAUAAUGCCCGAUAGAACAUUAUACCUGGAAUGGUUUAUGUUCCAAAUGAUUUAUCGCCGUAGGAUGGGACUGCGGCCUAUCAGUUUGUUGGUGAGGUAAUGGCCCACCAAGACUAUUACAGGUACGGGCUCUGAGAGGAGUAGCCCGGAGAUGGGUACUGAGACACGGACCCAGGCCCUAUGGGGCGCAGCAGGCGAGAAAACUUUGCAAUGUGCGAAAGCACGACAAGGUUAAUCCGAGUGAUUUCUGCUAAAGAAAUCUUUUGUUAGUCCUAGAAACACUAACGAAUAAGGGGUGGGCAAGUUCUGGUGUCAGCCGCCGCGGUAAAACCAGCACCUCAAGUGGUCAGGAUGAUUAUUGGGCCUAAAGCAUCCGUAGCCGGCUUUGUAAGUUUUCGGUUAAAUCUGUACGCUUAACGUACAGGCCGCCGGGAAUACUGCAAAGCUAGGGAGUGGGAGAAGUAGACGGUACUCGGUAGGAAGUGGUAAAAUGCUUUGAUCUAUCGAUGACCACCUGUGGCGAAGGCGGUCUACUAGAACACGUCCGACGGUGAGGGAUGAAAGCUGGGGGAGCAAACCGGAUUAGAUACCCGGGUAGUCCCAGCUGUAAACUAUGCAAACUCAGUGAUGCAUUGGCUUGUGGCCAAUGCAGUGCUGCAGGGAAGCCGUUAAGUUUGCCGCCUGGGAAGUACGUACGCAAGUAUGAAACUUAAAGGAAUUGGCGGGGGAGCACCACAAGGGGUGAAGCCUGCGGUUCAAUUGGAUUCAACGCCGGA
This 856-nucleotide ribosomal RNA is filed under the name uncultured archaeon. Its description in RNAcentral is "bacterial SSU rRNA". It matches the Rfam family "Archaeal small subunit ribosomal RNA", at positions 61 to 922 of the family's 1478-position model. The record is from RNAcentral.